This 368-nucleotide ribosomal RNA is filed under the name Theileria equi. RNAcentral's name for it is "SSU rRNA". It matches the Rfam family "Eukaryotic small subunit ribosomal RNA", at positions 483 to 887 of the family's 1831-position model. The record is from RNAcentral. Lineage: Eukaryota; Apicomplexa; Aconoidasida; Piroplasmida; Theileriidae.
AUACGGGGCUUGAAGUCUUGUAAUUGGAAUGAUGGGAAUUUAAACCCCUUCCAGAGUAUCAAUUGGAGGGCAAGUCUGGUGCCAGCAGCCGCGGUAAUUCCAGCUCCAAUAGCGUAUAUUAAACUUGUUGCAGUUAAAAAGCUCGUAGUUGAAUUUCUGCUGCAUCGUGGUUCUUCGCUAUGUCGAGUGAUCUUCGUUGUGGCUUAGUUGGGGCAUGUUUUCAUGACUCGACGUUUACUUUGAGAAAAUUAGAGUGCUUCAAGCAGGCUUUUGCCUUGAAUACUUUAGCAUGGAAUAAUGGAGUAGGACUUUGGUUCUAUUUUGUUGGUUUUAGGAGCCGGAGUAAUGGUUAAUAGGAACAGUUGGGG